UACGGAGGGGUCUAGCGUUGUUCGGAAUUACUGGGCGUAAAGCGCACGUAGGCGGACAGAGAAGUCAGAGGUGAAAUCCCAGGGCUCAACCUUGGAACUGCCUUUGAAACUUUUUGUCUUGAGGUCGAGAGAGGUGAGUGGAAUUCCGAGUGUAGAGGUGAAAUUCGUAGAUAUUCGGAGGAACACCAGUGGCGAAAGCGCGUGACUGGGCCAGUACUGACACUCAUGGACGAAAGCUAGGGGAGCGAAAGGG
This 253-nucleotide ribosomal RNA is filed under the name uncultured bacterium. RNAcentral's name for it is "partial 16S ribosomal RNA". It matches the Rfam family "Bacterial small subunit ribosomal RNA", at positions 524 to 776 of the family's 1533-position model. The record is from RNAcentral.